GUGGGGAGUAUUGCACAAUGGGGGGAACCCUGAUGCAGCAACGCCGCGUGAGUGAAGAAGGCAUUCGUGUCGUAAAACUCUGUAGUAGGGGAAGAAAGAAAUGACAGUACCCUAAAAGAAAGCCCCGGCUAACUACGUGCCAGCAGCCGCGGUAAUACGUAGGGGGCAAGCGUUAUCCGGAAUAACUGGGCGUAAAGGGUGCGCAGGUGGUUUAACAAGUUAGUGGUGAAAGGCAUAGGCUCAACCAAUGUAAGCCAUUAAAACUGUUUAACUUGAGUGCAGGAGAGGAAAGUGGAAUUCCUAGUGUAGCGGUGAAAUGCGUAGAUAUUAGGAGGAAUACCAGUGGCGAAGGCGACUUUCUGGACUGCAACUGACACUGAGGCACGAAAGCGUGGGGAGCAAACAGGAUUAGAUACCCUGGUAGUCCACGCCGUAAACGAUGAGUACUAGGUGUCGGGGGAAGACCUCGGUGCCGAAGUUAACACAUUAAGUACUCCGCCUGGGGAGUACGCUCGCAAGAGUA
RNAcentral lists this ribosomal RNA (523 nucleotides) under uncultured bacterium. RNAcentral's name for it is "bacterial SSU rRNA". It matches the Rfam family "Bacterial small subunit ribosomal RNA", at positions 354 to 896 of the family's 1533-position model. The record is from RNAcentral.